Molecule: long non-coding RNA, 953 nt
Organism: Condylura cristata (star-nosed mole)
Lineage: Eukaryota; Metazoa; Chordata; Mammalia; Eulipotyphla; Talpidae
Exons: 7
Source: RefSeq, a predicted model, not a curated record
CUGGAGCCGCCGCUCCAGCGAUGCGCGCAAGUCCCGCGAUACUUGGCAGGCGCGGCCCCCGAGAGCGACCGUGGGGUCGGCUCCUUGCCCCCGAGAGCUCACGGCCACCCCCGGCCUCCCAGGGCCCCCCCGGGCCAAAAGGGGCCGCCGAACCCCGCGCCCGCCCAGGCUCCAGCCAGCCUCUCCAAGGUGCGCUGCCCUCGGAGAAAGCUCCGCGACCCCACCCCCGCCGUCGACUCUCCCGGGGAGACUGGCGGCCGGCGACUCGUGUCUGGGCGCCCUGAAGCUGAAAGGACAGAGUUUGGCCUCUUGUCCCUGGCAGUGCCAACAGACUGGCAGGAUCCUAGUGUUCGGGUUAGCAACAGCCUGCGGCCAGGGUUUGCCCCUGCAUUCCUAUGCCCUUGCAAUUCAUCGGUUGAAGACUCUGAACCAGUUGGCCUGUAGCAUACUGUGUAGUCUGGAGUGUGCUGAUGUCGUAGUCAUUUGAAAGAUCUGUGUUCUGUUUCUACAAAUGGAAAGCUGUUGAUGUUAAAUGCCUGGAUCCAAUAAAUCAUUGGAAAUUGCAAGUUGGAGCUGAGUACUAGAUGCUUUUACUGCUUAAAAAAAAAAAAAAGAAGAAGAAGAAGCUCUUGUCCACAGCACAUCUAAAAGACUUGCCAUUAAGCUCUCUGUUAUUCGCCUCUCUUCUGCUUCUGCUGACAAGAAUGACAUCAAUUUCUGCUUCAGAUGGUAAAAGAAUUUUAUAAAUGCAUAUGGGACUAAUUUCAUCUGGAAGAACUCAUGACAUUUCUGCAUCAUAUCUGCAAGCUGAGGACAUGACUGCAAAGAAAUGCUCAAAGAGAUACCAUUCUACACCAGCCAGACUUCAGACUUUGGUCUCCUACCAAGAUAAUGAAGAACUGGAAAGAAAUAGCCCUCCCUGGUGGCGCAGCGGGUUAAAGCACAGCACUGAG